Girardinichthys multiradiatus is the source of this 3599-nucleotide long non-coding RNA. RefSeq lists it as uncharacterized. NCBI's taxonomy places the organism in Eukaryota, Metazoa, Chordata, Actinopteri, Cyprinodontiformes, Goodeidae. The transcript is spliced from 5 exons. The record is from RefSeq and is a predicted model, not a curated record.
CUGUCAGAGGCAGGAAGUUGGCAGCGGUGCUGUAGCUGCAUCAUUAAUAGACAUAUUGCAACACGAGUGGGAGGGAAAACGAGAGAGCAGUGAAAUAGGAAGAAAGAUCCUCAGUGGUUUGUCAGACUAGAGCAGGGAAUGUGGAUAAGAGUGAGGGUGAAUGCAUAUUUAAAAUAGAGAAUGCAGGAGGGAGGCAAUUAGGGCAAAAGAGAAAAAAAAAGGGGAAAAUGCAAAAGACGGGGGUGCAUGUGCGGCAGUGAUGCAUCGUCUAUUUUUACCCUGUGCUGCUGUGGGAGAUAAACAUACUCAGUAGGAGCCCAGAGGCAGAGGAGAGAACACUGGUGUUAAUCACUACAGACAGCAUUGAUUAAAAAUGCAAAGGCCUCCUGGAGCGCAGGGACACUGGAGACCCAUGGUAGGCGUGGAGGACGUGUACAUGCAGCAUGCACAUGUGCAGGCCCAAUAAAGCUGCAGGUACCCAGUCUGGCUUGGCUUUAAAUGUCCUCUCAGGUCAGCAACGCAGAGAAGAUCCAGCAGGUCCGAUCGAGAGAGAAAGAGUACUGUGAUAAGCAGUUGCAGAUAGGAAACACAAAUGGAGAGAUGGUGGUGUUGGUGAUGGAGGGGGAUCUGGCAGUGUGCAAACUGGAUGAUGAGAAGGAAAGGAAGAAGGCAAGGAAGAAAGAGGAGCGAGAAAGACGACCGUGAGGUGGGAGGGGAGGCUUGUAGCCAUGACAACACAGAGCACCGGUAGGUAGGUAGCAGCUUGGGAGAAUGCUGGGGAACAUCAGCGCUCCUCUUUCUUUCUUUCUUUCUUUCUUUCUUUCUUUCUUUCUUUCUUUGUCUCGCUUACAGACAGACAGACAGACAAGCUCACAGGUCUCACAGCACUCAGAUAAACAAGCAUGAGCAACAUGGAUUCAUCAGGACAUGGCUGAUAUCCGAGGCAGGAUAUCUGGGCUUGUUACGACGGCGGAAAGUUGGAGCGAAUGCUGGAAGCGAGCACGCAUGUGUUAUACUGUAAAUCCAAAAACAGCAACAGAAGCAACAGCUGGCAGAAAAUAUAAUGGAGAAGAAGAAGCUUUGGUGAAAGCAUGAGCCAUGUGUCGCAGGGAAGCUUGGUCCUGUCUCCAGCAGUCAAUGGGCGGGAGGCAGGGUACACCUGGGACAAGUCGCCAAUCCAAUGCAGGGCAACACAGACACACACAGGACAAACAACCACACACACACACACACUCAUUCAAGGGCAAUGUAGAGAGACCAACUAACCUAACAGUCAUGUUUUUGGACUGUGGAAGGAAGCUGGAGUACCCGGAGAGAACCCACGCAUGCACGGGGAGAACAUGCAAACUCCACGCAGAAAGACCCCCAGCCAGGACGAACCCAGGACCUUCUUGCUGCAAGGCUACCAACUGUGCCACCUUGCAGCCCUGCAUCAAAAACUUCAUUAAAAAUAUCUAUAUUUGUAUAAAUGUAUUUUAAAAUAAUAAGAUUAUUAAAUUAUGUCAUAAUUUCUGCGAUACAGUCCAUCAUGAAACAAUUCAAACUGGUUAAGCUGCACGGCAGUUUAAUUGUACACCACCUUGCGCAUAACAGCAUUAGGCUUGUUGAGUGAUGGCGGGUUAUCCUCACAGAUAAAAUAAAUUCACAACACUCUGCAACAAGGAAUUAUGAAAUAAUUGAAUAAAUAGUGAGAUAAUGAUGCAGUAUAUGCUUUCAGAACAUAAUAAAUGUAUCCUUUCAUAAUAAUUUCUUCCUUUUAUUGUUUAAUUAUGCAUAUUAUAAAUUGCUGAAAUACUUCUUUCUUUAUUUAUCGAAUGUGUGUAUUUUCCAGCUGUAAGCAUUUGGCCCUUGAUAAUAAUGCUCUAUAAUCUUUAUUUACCUGAUAAUAAACAUUUGUUAAAAAAAAAAGAAAAGUGCCAUUAAUUAGUGUUAGAAAAUGAUUAUUGCAUGUAUCACAAGUAAGAAAUGGUUCUCAGAGACAACACAAUCAUGUAUUUAAUAUACAUUUAAAACCCCUUGAUGUUUUAUGUAGUUGUUUCAAAAUAAGUACACUAAUCUUCACACAUAUCUGAAGAAUGACGGUGACCAGUCUGAAUGCAAGCCUGUUUAAGAAUGUCAACACUGAAUCUAUUCAGAUAAAGUUAUAGUGUUUUUGUAUUUAUCGUCCUAUGACAACAUAUUUUACAACAGGAAUAAUAGACUGGUUUUUCUUUUGGGCUUUUGCAGAAUAACUGAAAAUAAAAUCGAACAAAACACACUGACAUCCAUCAAACCACAGAUUAUAACACUUGGGAUUAAAUAAUUAACAGUGAAUAUGAUAUACUGAAACACUUCUAACUAGACAUUACCGUGUUUAUUGUGCCAUUAAAGCCAUGUUAACUGAGAAAAUAUCUAUGUAACAUUUAUUAGCCCUUUGGCCCAAAAGUGCUGCUAGAAUCUAUUUUUUGAGCAACAAAAGCUUUACCUUUGCGCUAUUCCACAAAAACAACUGGGACACCCUAUUUUUUUGAAAUGUUUGAAGUGGGGUUAAGCCUAACUAGCUGCCAAAAUGACAAUGCAUCUCCUGUUUUUCCAUAGCUCUGUUUGAGGACACCUUGAAACUUCAUGUGUACCUUGGACCAAAUGAUGUGAAUGCUGUUGGAGAAAUUGGAAAGAGUUCUUGAACACUGCAAGAGGCGUUGUGCUAGCUGUUCCUCUCAGCAGAGAUUCUGAGGUUUGAAGAACCCACUGAUAGACGAAGCGGUAAACCGCACUGAGACCACAAAGCUUGUGCAUGUGUGCUUGAGGAUGCUGUAUGGUUUGGUUUGCAUGUAAUCCAUUUUUAUCUGUGGGACUCAGGGAUUUGCCAGUAGCUUUUCUAAGACAUGCAGUACGAGUCAUAAUGAGAAAUCCAUCUCCCCCACUUUUGUAUUUUACGCUGUUUAAUCUCUUCUUCUCAAUAUUGACAGUUUUCUCAUGGCACUUUUUAUUUUUUGUGGCAUAAUGGAAAAAUACCACCAGUGAUCUUUAUUUGAUCACCCUAAGCUGCUCUGAGAGGAACAGAUUUGUUUUAUCAGUUUGAUGUUUACUGAAUCAUCAGUGAGGGGUGCUCUCAUUGUGGUAAUCCUUUGUGCCAAUUUCAUUUAAUAUGAGGCUUAUUGUAUGGUGUAUUAAUAGAGCACAGAUAUCUUAAAAAGGAAAAUUUAAAAGAAAGAAUUCAUAAUCUGAUUUUGAUGUUUCCUGCAAAGAUGCAGAGUCUCUUCAUGAAUAUGGAAUAUUAAUAAUUGAUGGAUGUAUCUGUAUAAAUUGGAUGCUUUUUUUCAGUGCCUUAGACGACAUUUGUUGUAAAUUCUCGCUAUUUUGAGGGGAAUUGAAUUCAGUUCAAUUAAAUUCAACUGACAAAGGACUAUUACACAUUUUACCUGAUAUUGGGUUUUUGUUAUAAUUAUUCGGGUCUCAUAUAGGUUAAACACCCAAUGGCACUUCUUUGUGAUGUAGAAAACUGAGAUCAUGAUAAAUAAUAAAAGAAAAUCCACCUUAAAUCUUGAAGAAAAGAGAAAAAAACUGUUUGAGGAAAAGUGUAAAAAAAACAUAAAACAAUAAAGAUCCAAUAAACUGGG